Molecule: ribosomal RNA, 253 nt
Filed under: uncultured bacterium
Lineage: Bacteria
Description: partial 16S ribosomal RNA
Rfam family: Bacterial small subunit ribosomal RNA
Source: RNAcentral
UACAGAGGGGGCAAGCGUUGUUCGGAAUUACUGGGCGUAAAGGGCGCGUAGGCGGCCGCCUAAGUCAGACGUGAAAUCCCUCGGCUCAACCGGGGAACUGCGUCUGAUACUGGGUGGCUUGAAUCCGGGAGAGGGAUGCGGAAUUCCAGGUGUAGCGGUGAAAUGCGUAGAUAUCAGGAGGAACACCAAUGGCGAAGGCAGAUCUCUGGGCCGUAACUGACGCUGAGGAGCGAAAGCAUGGGGAGCGAACAGG